CAGUAUCCAACGGUCAAAAUUCCACCCACCAUCAUAAUUAAUAUGUCCGAACCUAGUUCAAGCGGCCCUUUCAUCUCCCUCUGUUAUCUUUUUCAUUAGAGAGUCCAAGAACCCUAACCAGUCGCCCUCAAAUUUCCUCCAUUAUCUCCGGUGGUGGCAACGCCAUAGACCACGCCAAUCCUUACCAAACUAACAUCAGAACUCUCUCCAUCUCCCCAUCCCAAAUAUCCAACCCUUUGCCCUCGAAUCAACUUCAUACUCUUCGAAUCUUGAAUCUGAGUUUGACCCCUAGAAAUUCGAAGUCAUUUUUCGUCAAGUCUGGUAACAUGCACGAUCAUGGAGUGUUGAUUUUUCAAACUUUUAGGUUUGGACUCAACGAAACUGAUGUCGUUCAAUUGUUCUUGACAAAGAAAAAGGGAUCGAUAUAAGUUUGGUUGGGUCUUUUGUCCCUAUUCGGUUUCAAUGUUCAAUUUGGUACGUCUCUUUCCUUUUUUGUAUUUUCUUUAUGUCGUUAUCUUAUUAUCCUCCUUUCUCCCUUUCUUUAACCUAGUUCUUAUAAUAAUCUGGUCGAAAAGUCGAUUCACCUUGUGAGUUCAAAGUUGUCCUUCUGAUCAUUAUUUUGUUUUUCUUUUUUUUUUCUUUCUUUCUUCUUCUUUGUGAAAUCCUCUUCUGUGACUUCUUUAAUUUGUUAAGCAUGACUAAGUUUGUGGUUCGUUAUUUUCACCUAGUUAAUUUAAUUAGGCUUAAUUUAGUUAAUUUCUUGCUAUGUAGAUUAAGUUAAGUGAUUCACGCACCCUCAUCGUUGUUUGAUUAUAUUUUAAAAGGUUUUCGGGUUCCUUCGUUUAGGAAAGUUUGAGUCAGUUCUUAAAUUGGGAACUCUUGCCUGAUUUUAAUUGGACUCUGAAAAAUCAAAAGUCCAAGAGGGAAUUAAACUUGGGUAACAAACCCAUAUCAAAUUAGGUCGUGGGGUUAACUUGACCCAUGUAAUUUGCUGAGGGUAAUUUCAGGGGUUUGUGGGGUUAAUUUGGGUAGUCUAGCUAAGGGAAAUCUUUAAUAACUAAUUUAAGAAGCUUCCUUGAAGCUGAAAAAAGGACUUGUCAAACAAGCUAAAAGUUUAGGGAUUAAGUAGCAAUAAUUAAAAUUAGAAAAGGUUUAAUAGGCAAAAACUGAAAUAUUUCUGCUGCCCUUGAACCUUGCCUAUAAAGGCACAUACACUUGGCACUCAAAUGAGGUUUUUUUGAAAGGAUUCAGAUUAGAGAGAACUGAAUAGAUAAAAAUUCAGAAAAACUAAAACGUUUGAAAAAUCUCACAAACUCACUGCUUCAUUCAAUUUUCUUUUGUGAUUCUAGAGUUGUCAAUUUCUAAAACAAUUUCUGGCACAUCUAGGGUAAAAAUUGACUAAAGUAGGUUUUAAAAGUUUGGUUUGAAAUCUGUUGUGGUAUUUUCUUGAUUGAAACUGGUUUUUGGACUGCUGCACUUUAGUUUCUGUUUGAAAUUGGUUAAAUUUGGGCUGACUGCUGCCAUUGCUUACUGCUGAUACUUCAUUUUCUUUUGGUUUCAUUUCCUUUGAUCAUUACCCGGUACAUCUCAAACUGUGGACAACAACUGAUUGCAAGCAUGUAUUUUGAGUGGAAAGUUGGUUGAAUCCAAGUUGUAAUUGAAUAUAUCUUUUCUGUUUCCUCUUUUCUUUCAACAUUCUAUAGUAUGAAUUAUAAUAUAUUUGCCACUAAUGUUUUCUGCUCAUUCAUGUACCACAAAGAUAUGUAGGUUCUUUUGAGAAGAAAAUGUGCUCCAAUCCGAGGUCUAGCUUAAAUGGAUUACAUUUUGUUACAUGUGUUUGGGUGGUAAAGAGAUCUGGUCGUUAGUUACACACUGUUUCAGUUUUUUCUUUUGGUGCUCAUAAACUUAAAAGAGUGCAUUCAUGUUGAUUUUGAUCCAAAUAAUUAGCAUGUUUUUUCUACUGAGUUGGCUGAUGUUAGUGUUAGUCAUUGGUUUGAGUUUCCAUGAGGUAUCUGUUUAAUUCAAAUUUGAAUCUAACAUAGAUAUCUGUUAAAUCUGAAAUAAAAAGCUACUCCUGAUGGUAUCCGAAAUGGCCUGGUAUACUAGUUUUUGGGUGAUGAUGGGGUCUAUUAGUUGUAAUUAAGUGUAAAGGGUUUAUUUACUUUGGUAAAGAUUCGAUUCGUUAACUUUGUUUUUACACGGUUUGGAUUCGUUAAUCUUUGGGCCUUGAGGUUAUAUGUAAUUGUCCCCUUAGCCCAACAACUCACUAAUUGGUUGUUGGGUCACUUCAGUAGCGAAUUGGCCCAAAGGUAUGCUCAAUUAAAAAAUUAGAAGGCUGAAUAAUUUUUCUAUGUUUAAUAUUUUAAAUACGGGGUUUUAAGUUUGCGAAAUCAAUUUUAUGUUUCAUGUUGGUACCAUUUGAUUAGCAUUCUUGAAUUGGCAAUGUGGCAUAACAAUUGGGAGUAUGAAGCUAGGACUAACGCAGGCCUAGCUGAAUAGCAGUCAGAUUCAGAUCACUAGGCGCCUUCCCUCACCAUGAAUUGGGCUCAUUUUUAGCCCAGAGCUUGAAGAUAUGGUUGAAAGGGUCUGUCCAAUUGUUUGAGUAAUGUAAAUUCCUUUUAGGUUUGUGGUUCUCCAACAUAGAUGUUUAUUCAGUAAAUUAGUAGGGUAAAACCUUUAGUUUAAUCAAUAGAAUACUUUAAGUUUUUGUGAAUUAAUUAGUGGAGGUGAGCCAUAUUAAACAAUGUAAAUAGCUUAUGGCCUUCAAACAUUUAACUUGAACUUCCUUUUAAAAUAUGGAAGCGAGGUGCACCGUGCUAAAUAAAAUCUCAAAUGCGUGGCCCUAAUUUAAUUAUUUCUUUUAAAAUCCUUAGAACUCGAGGCGUGCCAUUUAGCAAAUUUUUAAUGGUCCUCGUAAAGUUCAAAAUGCGUAGUUGCUUUAGGACGUUAUUUUAAUUAUUUACCUUCCUAAACUAGGGUGGGUAUUUCAUGUGACCCAAAUCCAAAUCUCACAACGUUAAAUAAAUGUGUCUCGGUUUGCUGGUGCAUUUCAUGUGGUGUUGCCCAAAGACGUAUUUUGGAUGACGUUGAAAUUUUCCUAAAAACAUUAAAAGCAGUUUAAUAAGUUAAAAUUAUACCAUAGGCUAAAACAUGUAUUAAAAUCAGAUAAUAAGACAACUAUAAUAGUUUAAGAGACCGUGCUAGAACCACGGAAUUCAGGGGUGCCUAACACCUUCCCUCGGGUUAACAGAAUUCUUUAUUCAGAAUUUUUGUUCGCAUACUUCAAAAGAAAUUUGAAUUUUCCUCGAUUUGGGAUUCUAAACCGGUGACUUGGGACACCAGAAAACAAACCCUCCCAAGUGGCGACUUUGAAAAAAUAAAUAAAUAAUCCAUUUUUAAUAAUGUCACUUAAAUUGGAAAAAUCCCUUAUAUACUAUCCUUCGGGGUGGUGUGUUAAAAAAGAGGUGUGACAGCUCUGGCGAGUCUACUAGGGAUCUAAACCCAGAACUUCGGUUUAGGAUUUAAGAAUUCGAGCUUAGAAUAACUGCUAUGAUUGGCUUUAUCUAUUAUCUGAUUUUCCUAUAUGUUUGAGCCUAAUAUGCUAAAUGCUUUUACCACUUUGAUAUUGUUUGAACUGUAUAUAAACUGCUAUGAAACCCUUCUUCUCUUUGAGUCUUCUAAAUCAUCUGGGAAGUGUGCACACCGUGUAACUUCUUUUCUUUCAUAGUCUUAUCCCAAAUUUUAGAAUGAGGUUCGGACAAGCUGCAAAGCCGAUGAAGCUUCUAUAUUCUUGGUACGCUGCCCCCCCCCCCCACCAGCUCGAGCUGUCUGUUCGGGUAAGCUAGGUCUAGAACAAUAAACUCAAAUUUUAAACCUAGUAUGACAAAACCUCAUACCGGAUCUCUAGUAGGAACGUUUGUUUGCAUCACGUGCAUUUGACUUAGGAGACUCAACACAGGGGUUGAGUUUGUUUAGGACAGAUGUACCCGAAAUGAAAAUACCCUCCUGAUGCAUCCUACUUGCUACUUGUGCAUUUCUUUGUUUCGUAUUUUCAUGUUGACCAGCUUGUGAAAAAUAGAAGAAAAUUGGUAAAAGAAAAUAGAAGUGUGAAGGUUAAGAGAGAUAGUUACCCGUUUUGAAAACCAAUGUCCAAAAGGUACUGAAACUCUACCGAAUUUUUGAAAAAAAUAAAAAAACUUGUUUUUAAAAAAAUGGUUGUUUUUGUUAAAUUUGCCCGACCUACGCUAGUUUGAUUCCCAUUGGUUGUGGGAUACGUAGGCAACCGUCAUCGGGUCCAACUUCCCUUAUGCAAAAAUAGUCCAGAAAAAAUAAAAUUUUUAUUUUUUAUCACAAAUAAGGAGGGUGAUGCCAUUCUUGUUUGAAACAAGCCGAAUGUCUUCAAAAGGGCGCCGGAAGGCCGUUUUGCAAGAACAACCACCUUUGGACAUUUUUAAAUUAUUAGCCACUUAGGAGGAACAUCCUUAAAAUCUUCUUCCCCAAAGUGCUGAAAGGUCGUAUUUGCAAAGAUGGAUUUUCUUUUGAAAUAAAAUUUUGUAAAGAUAGUGCUACCCUUUUGUUUUGAGUCAAAAUAAGUUAUUAAAUCACCUUAAUAAAUGUGUAGGAUGAGCAUAAAAGCAAAUGAACCCUUCGCAGCUCUUAAAGAGAUCCCCUUAUAGCUCUGCAUGUGGUGGAAUGACAUAGGAAAAGGCAGUAGAGAAACUGCGGUAAUGAUUUUGGCUGGUUUUGCCGGACAUUGAACAUCAGGCCAAGGUUGGACGUGAUUGAAGCCUUGAUAUCUUUUAGGGAUCCAACUUGCAAUGUGUUCUGCUUUUCUGACUUUGAGCUCACACCCACAUUAGAGGAAAUUGCGGGUUAUACUUGCCUUAAUGGAUACCUUUGAAGUCGAUACCUAGUGUCACCAAGACCGGUAUCUCCCAACAAAUUUCUAGAUCUGCCGAGUAUAAGUAAGGAUAUUUAGGAUGGAAAUUUAUCCGAAGGGCAUUACACUUUUCAAUUCUUGUAGCAACGCUACGGUAACCCUCAAGGCUUUGAAGCACUGAAUAUUGGUUUGACCUAUGCCUAAAAUAAAGAUAAAUGGGAGGCAAGGCGGGGUUUGGUUUUUAUAGUAGUAUUCUUGGGUGUUGUAGUAUGUCCGCGAGAAGAUGGUAAUAUAGAAAUAGGUCUCGUAGGAAUGGUUGAUGUCACAAUCAAGAAAGCUAAUGGUACUAUGGUCCCACUGAUCUUAUCUGAAAUUUACUGAGCCGUUACGAUCUGUCAAGAAUGGGCAAUUCUUCCAAGGUUGCAAUCUGCUACAACAAUUGUGGAUACAGGAGCAUCUCUACCACCAGGUUGGGUAUAUGAAUUAUGGUAUGACCUGUUUGGGUUGUAUUGAAGAAUUUUAAAGCUGAGUAGUGGGUUUUGAAUUCCUUGAGGGUACUGAGGCUUGGUUUGCACACUUAAGAUCUUUGACCGCCGUUAAAUUGAGUGGGUGUUCGGAUGACUUCCUGUCACCGAAGCAGUAUACAUGUCAGCCAAAGUGUGUUAUCUUCUCCUAAUGUCCAUCCAGAGCAUCCAACCAUAUGCUCCUCACCAGGUUUCGCGCCAACUGGGCUGAUUUCAAACCAUUCCCCACGAUGAAGAUUUGAGUAGACAUGUCAUCAAAUUGGGCCCAAACGCUGUAUUUCCAAAAGGAAGUAUUCUCUAGGUGUGGAAUGAAUGCAGAUUUCUUGAACCUAAGACUAUGGUGCGAGAUCUAGAUAGAGGUGAGGUAGACCCUAAGUACAAUGUUUGGUUUGCUAAAAGGUUUUUGAUUACCGAAAGACCUGCUAAGAGAGCCCACGUUUAACAAUUCACUAACGACUCGCAAGAGCAAUUGGUUUGGUUUGCAAAAGAAGAAAGCUACAGGGCCAACAUAGGUAAGUUAGAAGGACAAAUCAGGGAUCUCGAAUUUGCUAAGACUAUCCAAGCUGCCGUAGAUGAAGGGGAAAAGAAAAAGCUAAAUUAGGAAAAUGAGGCCCUCAGGGUUCAAAUGCAGAAAAUGAGAAUAGCAGCGAGAAACCCGGAAAGAAGCCGAGCAGAUGAAAGGCUUAUAAGCAGUCAGAGAAAAAAUUCACUUGAGAUUCAUAUUCGACUCUCAGGCCAAAGAUUUUAAAGCCGACAGGGAACAUUGUUAUGUUCUGAUUGCUCAGAUGGAGGAGGAAAUGCAACAGCUGCAAAACAAAAACUAUCACGACGCUCAGGUGUUAGAAGCCAAGAGUCACCAAAUCGGGCGUCUACUUCAGGAAAAUGGUAGGAUUUGAGAGAGGGUUAGAGCCAUAUUCGACUACACCGUCGUAAAAUGCCAAGCCUGUGAGGACAUGACGCGAACCACUUUCUUCGCUGCAAAGGUGACAUUCGACCACCAGAUAUUAAGCUAUUUAGAGCAGCCACAAGGGGAUCUCAUACGUAGGCCCAUGGCGAGAUCGAAUGAUGUCCCACGGGCCCCAGGAUUUAAAGCCUUUAAGUAUUUCUGAUUUUUUAUUUAUCGAGGUUGUACUUUGCUUUAUUUUGAGUCUGUUCUUAGUUUUAUAUUCCAAGAAAAUGAGUAGUUUAAAAUCAUUCUUAAUAGAAGUUUAGGAGUUUCAAUGAAAAUAAAAAAUUCCCAGAAAUUAUUUCUUGCAUCUAUUUUUUUGAACUACGUAAUGAUCUGAUACACGGGGUAUUAUGAUACAUAGGCAAUCCUUAAUGAAUCCGGUCAUAAUUCCAAUAAGAAAAUCAAAAAAAAAGGAGAGAAGAGAAGAAAAAUAAAAAGAUAAAAAAAAGAGAGAUGAAAAGGAAAAAGUGGAAGUUUGAAAGUGGAAUGAAGAAAAAUUGGGAAGAAUAAGUAAAUCCGGGAUGAAACAUGCAACCGUUGCAAACAUGUAGAAACUCAUUUAAAUGUAUAGGUGCAUCACACCCCAACUUGCGAUUACAUAUGUGUUAUUUGUUUCAAACUAAUCGUUUUGUUGAUGUGUUCCAGUCCAGGUUUUUACUUCAAGGUGGUUGGUUUUUGUGGUAAUCUGUAUUCGCAUCCAUACUUUAAAAGGUCAAAAUGAAGCAUUGAAAUGUCUUAAGAAAUGACUCUGCCAGCAAUUCCCAUUAUGCAUGAUAGUCCAAUCUCGGGCAUCUCGACCUCAGAAUCGGCAACUGCCGAAGAAAAUAGAAUCCUGCGUCUUUGUGUUAUGGAAAUAUGGGACGCUUCGGCAAAUUGAAGAGAGCCACCAAGAGCAAUCCCGGGAUUUCCUGAAAUCUUUCCUAGGGCGAGCAGUACCUCCAACGUCCCAAUCAGUCACCCUAAUACACCACUAGGAUACCCUACUAUCUCAACUCAUUUUGUUGGGACACCUUCCAAGGUUCGCCCCCAAGUGUUAAUAUCCGGUGCAGCUUCAAAUAUCAUCACCGCUCCACCUUGCUCGGCUACAGCACAGUCUACAUUGCCCAGGCCUAUCUUUGAUCCAUCAUCUUUUAUUUUCCAGAAACCAUCCUUCCCAAUGUAACCCACACAGUUUCCCGCCUAUAUUUACUCUCAACCACCCUAGUAUGAGUUCACUGCAGGGCAAGAAAGGGCCACCGAAACUCCGGAGCAAGAAAAGAGUGCGAGAGAGAUGAGGAGUAUGAAAUAGAGUAUUAAAAGCAUACAAUGCCUGAGUGGACAAAAAGUGUAUCCUAUGCCGACUUAUGUAUGAUCCCUCAUGUUCAUCUACCAUUGGGAUUUAAAACUCUAAAAUUUGAGAGGUAUGGUGGGCACGGUGGUCCCAUUGCCCACCUCAAAAUAUAUUUCAUCCAGCUACGAGGAGCAAGUGCAAAGGAAGAACUCCUCAUGCCCUACUUUCGAGAAAGUUUUGUUGGCGUCGCGUAUGAAUGAUACAUGGACCAAGAUAUAUCCCGCUGGCACAUCUGGGAUGACCUUGCUCGAGAUUUCGUUAGGCGGUUUCAGUACAACAUUGAUAUUGCUCCGAAUAGGAAUUCAUCGACGUAUUUGAAAAAGAAGUCCUCGGAAAGCUUACGAGAGUAUGCUGUUAAAUGGCGUGAGUAGGCCUCCAGGUUAAAGCCUCCGAUGGAUGAGAUUGAAAGGGUUACUAUUUUCCUCCAAGCCCAAGAUCCCGAUUACUUCCAAAACAUAAUGUCUGCAAUUGGUAAGACGUUCGCUGAAGCCAUCAAGAUUGGCAAAAUAGGUUAAAAUAAGUUGAAAAUAGGUCGAAUUUUGAGCCAAUCUGCUAUAAGGGCUACCUCCAAAGCCAUCAAGGGUGGUUCUGGAGGAGUAGCAAAUAGAAAGAAACAUCAAUGGCAACAUCAAGCGCAAGAAAACAUCAUACUCCCAGAUCCCUUUUUUUUGGGAACCCCGCAACACUAUUAACCCCACCAAGAUGUGACCUAUGCUCCUCAACCGUACAUGAUAAUGAAUGCUCAACCUUAUGUCCGGCCACAACAACCCUACAAUCAAAACCAAGCUCCAUUCCCUAGAAACCAACCCCUUUAUCAAGCUCAUUACAACCCCCAGCCUCCAUAACAUAAUUUCCACGUCAAUGAACCGCCCAAGAGGCCAAAUUUCACACCAAUUGAUGAAUCCUACUCCAGCGUGUCACCAAAACUUGUUCAAAUGGGAUUGAUGCAGCCUGUUCCCCAAACCUAGCAGAACCAGACAUCGCCCGCUUACAAAGCUGGCGCCCGAUGUGCCACCACUCCGGGGCAAAAGGGCAUGACACGGAUGAUUGUUGGACUAUGAAGAGAGCUAUGGAGAACCUGAUAGAACAAAGGAAAAUAGUGCUGAGGGACGAAGACAUUCCACAUAUAACCAACAACCCACUACCGGCCCAUAACAACGGGAUGGUAAUCAGAAUGAUUUGUGAGAAUAAGAAGUUUGACCCAGUAUUGAAUGCCAUCAUCGCCAUAGCUGACGUAGAAAAGAAGCCAAAAAUUUUCCCGAAGCAAGACAAGGGGGAGAAAAAGAACAAAAUCACCCCUCAGAAUUCGGAGAAGAAAAUGGAGGUUAAUACUGGGACAACGCCCCACAGAGAUGUUGUUCUCUAUGUCCCUCGAGGCCGCAAAGAAAAAUAGAUGUCAUUGAGUCCUCCCAGGAGUUCUGAACUAAACUAGAGAACCCAAAUGUAUGUGCCAUAGGGGACUUAUGUGAUGCGGGGUCAAACAAUUCUUCCAUGGCUAAGUGAGGCCGUGGUUAUUUUCCACGCACCACAAAAGCCUAUGACGGAUCCUACCGCUAUGCCUUGGAACUACAAGAAAUCAGGGGUGACUUACCAGGGCAAAGAAAUAUUAGGAGAAGUUAAAGAAAAUAAUCCGGCUGAGAAGUAUUUCAAUUUGGAAUAGGUGAAAAAUGUCACGAGAAAGCGUUUCCCAUCUAUGAAGCCGGUGAGUGUUGAAGCAUUAGAGGCAUUCUUUCAAAAGAUAAAAAUGGUAGAUUAUGAGAAAUCGACCAACUUCGAAAGUUUUCUACUCAGGUCUCUCUGUUAUCUCUAUGAACUCCACUGAAUAUCAAAAGGUAUUGAUCAAGACCCUCAAAAAAGCAUAUAUGCCUGUUGAAACCAAUGUAGAGCAGUUGGAGGGGAUGACAGAAAGAUUUUUUGCAAUCAACCAAAUUUCCUUCAGCAAGAAUGAUUUGCCCCCAGAAGGGGCCGCACACAAGAAAGCCCUUCACCUGACAGUCAAAUGCGAGGGUUACUACGUGAAAAAGGGUUAUGUUGGACGAGGGUUCUGGGGUAGAUAUUUGCCCACUCUCAACUUUGCAAUCUAUGGAAAUCGGUAUCGAGAGAAUCCAACCCAACAAUGUCUGCGUGCGUGCCUUUGAUGUCAUGAAAAGGGACACAAUAUGAGAGAUUUAUAUUAUCCUAACUAUCGGCCCAGUAGACUUCAAAGUAACCUUCCAGGUUUUGGGCAUGACACUUCCUACAACUUUCUUUUGGGGAGGCCAUGGAUUCAUGAAGCGGGGGCUGUGCCUUAUACUAAUUUGAGACUGAGGAUCAAGAGAUUCUGGUCUACAGGGAAGAUGAGAAAUCAAUAUAUCUGGACCUGUCAGUCCUAUGUCUUGAAGCAAGAGAGAGGAGUGAACACAUAGUCUAUUAGGCUUUUGAGAUUGUGGCCGCAUACCUGUGUGAAGAAGGAAACCCUUGCUCUCAACCCUUACUUCCAAAUGCAUCAAUCAUGGUUUCCAAGGAAAUGAUCAGGCAUAACUUCAAAUGAGAAGGGGCUAAAGAAAAUCAUUGCAAGGAAUAGUUGAACCUAUCACCCUGAAUGCUAGUCAAAAGUUCUUUAGGGUAGGCUUCCAACCUACACCAACUGAUAUAAAAUGGGUGGAUGGUAGAAAGAAUGAUGGAUGGAUCUUGCCUUAGCUAGUGUCGCAUCUGUAUAAAACAUUUGUCAAGCCUAAAUACAAUGAGGAAGAAGAUGAAGCCUUUACGACCGAAGAAAUUGAAGAAAUGUGUGGGGUAAUGAGGAAGAUACUGUUUGAAACCCAAAUGGUCUAGUCAGGGGAAUGCUCAAGCACAGCUGAGGUGCUAUAUGUGGGAUAUGAGGCCAAAUUGAAAAAUUAGAAGGCUACGCCAUUCCCAAUCAAGCGGGAGUACCAGUAAACCUAUCCCGCCAUUUUUUCUUCAUCAUGUGUUAUUCCAAGGUGUAACUCGGAUGUUUUUAUUUAGUUUCAUGUCUUUUAAUUUCCAAUGUAAACCAUGUUAUCUUCAGAUUCAAUGAAAUGAAAUCAAUAUUUUAUCAUCCAUCCUUCUCUCCUUCUGAUUUUUGUUAUUUUUUAUUUCUUCUUGCAGUUCUAAUAAUGUGGCUUUAAAUAACAUGACAUGCUUGCAAACUUUAUGUCCAUAUCCAAACAGACGGUCUAACUGUGAAAUAAUUAACCAAGAACAGGAAUAUGAUGAAGAAGAGGCUUUUAGGAAAAUUAAUCGAGAACUGGAACAAUUUGAGAAAAAUAAUAAGCCAAACUUAGAUGACACUGAGCCAGCUAAUCUGGGUGAUUCUGAAGAAAUCAGGGAAACCAAGAUAUGCAUUCACACAGACGAAAAAACCCGGGACGUAUGAAUCUAACUCCUAUUUGAGUUCAAAGAUAUGUUCGCAUUGUCAUAUGAUGACAUGGCAGGACUAAGUGUUGAUUUGGUGGCUCAUAAGUUGCCAAAUUACCUCAAUUACCCUCCCUAAUCCAGCAAAAUCAAUGAAAGUUUAAAAUUGUUAUUAGUGACAAAAUCAAAGAAAAAGUCAUGAAACUGUUGAAAGCAAGGGUGAUCCAAGUGGUUCGGUAUGCCACAUGGCUGGCCAUUGUAGUUCCAAUGCCAAAGAAAGACGAGAAAAACAGAGUAUGUGUGGAUUAAAGAUAUCUAAAUAACACAAGUCCUAAACAUAAAUUCCCUUUGCCAAAGACCGGCAUCUUUGUUGAUAACUGCGCCAAACAUGAGAUACAGUCCGUCGUGGACUGUUACCUAGGAUCUCACCAUGUGUUGAUGGAUGAAGAAGAUGCAAAAAAGGUAGCUUUCACUACACCCUAGGGUACAUACUAUUACAGGGUCAUGCCAUUUGGUUUGAAGAAUGCCGGGACAACCUAUAUGAGGGCCAUGAGUGCCCUUUUUCAUGAUAUGAUGCACCAAGAUAUAGAGGUGUAUUUGGACGACGUGAUCAUCAAAUCCGAAACCCAGGACGACCACACUCAAGACUUGAGGAAAUUCUUUGAAUGAUUGCGUAAAUAUGAUUUGAAGCUGAACCCAGCUAACUGUGCAUUUGGAGUCCCAUCAGGAAAACUUUAUAGUCAGCCGGAGGGGUAUUAAAUUUGAUCCAACAAAGAUAAAGUCUAUUCGGGAUUUUCCUCCUCCGAUAACCAAGAAAGAUCUGAUGAGCUUGUUAGGCAGAUUGAACUAUAUCUGCCAGUUCAUUGCUCGAUUGACAUCCACGUGUGAACCCAUAUUCAAAUUGCUAAAGAAAGAUGUUGCAAUCAAAUGGACAAAUGAAUGUCAAGAAGCUUUUGAUAAAAUCAAAGAAUAUUUGUCCAAUCCACCAGUCCCGAUCCCCCCAGAAUCAAGGAGGCCUCUGUUCUUGUAUCUAAUAGUCUUGGAGAAUUCUUUUGGCUGUGUCCUCGGGAAACAUGAUAUGACUGAAAAGAAAGAACAGGCAAUAUACUAUUUGAGUAAAAACUUCACCAGUUUUGAAGCUAAGUAUACUUUGUUGGAAAGAACCUACUGUGCUUUAACCUGGGUAUCUCAGAAGUUGAGGCAUUAUCUGCAAACCAAUGCCCACGGGAAGGUUAGCAAAAUGGCAGAUCCUGCUCACUGAAUUUGACAUAGUCUAUGUCACUAGCAUGGCAAUAAAAUCCCAGGCGUUGGCAGAUCAUUUGGCUGAAACCCGGUUGAUGAUGAAUACGAACCUUUCAACACUUACUUCUCGGAGGAAGAGGUAAAUUCGGUCGAGGCAAUAUCCGAAGAUACUACUGUCACACCUCCUUUUUUCACACUAUACCCUGCGAAGGGCAUAUAUAAGGGUGUUUUCCAAUUAAUGGACAAUCGAAACAUGAUUUAUUUAUUUAGAGAUUUCAGAGUCGCCACUUGGGAUGACUAAUGGUGUCCCAAGUCAGCGGUUUAAAUUCCGAAUCAAGGAAAAGGGUUGACUCUGUAUUACAGUCUGCGAGCCAGAAAUUCGGGUAAGAAAUUCUGUUAAACUAGGAGAAGGUGUUAAGCAUUCCCGAGUUCUGUUAGCACGGUCUCUAAUCUAUUAUAUUCGGCUUAAAAUAUCUGAUUUUAAUGCAUUUUUAUACCUAUGUGUAAAAUUUCAUUUUUAAUAGCUUUUAUUUAAUUUUAAGAAGAUUGCAACGUCGUUAAAAUGCGUUUUGAACCAUGACACAUAAUGCACCCGUAGUUUGCAACACAUUUUACUUAACGUCGAGAUUUGGAUUUGGGUUACAUAAAUGUACACCCGUAUUUAGGAAAGUACAUUAUUUAACUAACGUGUCCAAGGCAAUUGCGUGCUCUUUAAUUUGUGAUGGUCAUAGAAAGUUUACUAAAUGGCACGCCUCGAAUUCUAAGGAUUCAAAAUCAAUUAAGUGAAAUCCAUACCAUUAUUCAAUUUUAUUUGGGCAUUGGCCUACCUCAGUUCUAAAUUUAAUUAAAACUAAUUAAAACAAAGUCGUGCAAUUGUUAUAUUUAUUUGCCAUAUUUACCCUAAUUUUAAGUUAAAACGUACUUGAACCAAGCUACCAAGGGCCAUGGGCCAUUCAAAAGAUACCAGGCCUGAUGACAUGUCCGACAAUUGUCGAAGUUCUAUUCAGGGACCAGAAGUGUGUUCCUCUAAAUGAAAAUCAAUCCUAAUAUGGGCCCAACUACUAGAAGAUAAAGACCAAGGAGAAAAGUUCAAGUUCGAACCUCCACGCAUACAAACAGCACAUGAACAACAUGUGCAAGCAUCAACAAACCACUAAAUUUUCCAUUUUGAUUUUAAAAAAUCAAAUUUAAGCUAAGAUGUUAAUGGAGUGAUUAUGAACUAAUUCAAACAUGCAAUAUACAAAACCAAAUUUUGACCCAAUUUAACAACUAUGUUGAAAAUUCAGGACCAAAAUAAGAGGUCCAGGCUCACAUUUAAACCUGUUCUAAACACAUAUUGAUGCAUUAAUCGAUGAGAUAAGAAUAUUUGCAUGUCAAAAGUGAAAUAUCAUCGAGCACUUAACUAUCACAUUCCCCUUAACAUGGAUUCUAUACUAAUCAAAUUACACUUAAAGUAAAAUAUGCUCCUAUCAACACGAUUUCACAGACUAACUGUCCAAGCUUAUGAACACAUGCAAUUUCCAAAAUUACCAAGUAUUAAGCAAGACCUUUCAUGCAUAUGAGUCAACCAAACUAAUAUUUGUUACAGUAAUCCAUACUCAGGACAAACUGAAAGAGGUAUAUAAGAAUCAAACUAAGCUAAAUAAUUUCGCAAGUGCAUAAAAUUUGAUAAGCAACUGCAUGGGUACAAAUCUUUAUUUACACGAGCCAAUCUUCAUAUUUAUCCAUUUUUCAUACAUAGUAAUGUGAGAUGAAUAUCUGGGAAGCAAAGGAAAGUAGGAAUGUGAGGAUCAGUAGCAGUAGACUCGUAAUAGCAAGAAUACUCCCUGAUUUGAACAAGUAACCCCAAUUAAAUCAACUCAAACCAAUGAAACAAUGACUUUUAGUCAAAAAGUAAUCCCAGACUUCCAAAAGAAAGAGGGAGUUUAGUCCAUUUCACACCCUCACAGAAAAUCAAGGUUACUAGGCCAAAUUGGAACUCGAACUCAAAGAUUCAAAUCAAUGGAACAGUAAUUUUCCUAUUAAUGUUUUUGCUGUUCUAUUUCUGAUUUUUUUAGCUCUCUUAUUUUUGUUCAGGUCUUUUUUGAUUUCAGGAUCCUCUAAUGGAACAGUACCAGCCUCUUUUUUCUGUAUUUUUUCCUCUUCUAAGACCUGACUUGUCAGCCAAGGACAUAAUACCUUUAUAGGCAAGUAAGUAGGGUAACCCUUAGGUUUUUAUUUUGCAUUUCAGUGCCUAUUUUAUGACUUGGUAACCAAGUUACAGCCUAAAAUUUAUAGGUUGCCCCCUAUUAGAAGCUUCCUAUUCUUGUUACUAAAUAUUCCUUGUUACUAAAUAUUCCUUGGGUUCCAUUCCUCUAAAAAUUAAUCAAGACUAACAAAUAACAUGAAGAACUCUCAUAUUCAGAGAAUGAAGGUUGCGGAGAUGAGGAUGCUCAGGUGGAUGUGCNNNNNNNNNNNNNNNNNNNNNNNNNNNNNNNNNNNNNNNNNNNNNNNNNNNNNNNNNNNNNNNNNNNNNNNNNNNNNNNNNNNNNNNNNNNNNNNNNNNNNNNNNNNNNNNNNNNNNNNNNNNNNNNNNNNNNNNNNNNNNNNNNNNNNNNNNNNNNNNNNNNNNNNNNNNNNNNNNNNNNNNNNNNNNNNNNNNNNNNNNNNNNNNNNNNNNNNNNNNNNNNNNNNNNNNNNNNNNNNNNNNNNNNNNNNNNNNNNNNNNNNNNNNNNNNNNNNNNNNNNNNNNNNNNNNNNNNGGACGGAGAGAUUGACGGGGACGUCACUCAUCGUAUAGGAGCGGGGUGGUCAAAGUGGAGGCUUGCAUCAGGAGUCCUGUGUGACAAGAAAGUUUCACACAAACUCAAGGGGAAAUUCUAUAGAGCCGUGGUUAGACCUGCGAUGUUGUAUGGGGCGGAGAGCUGGCCCGUGAAAUACUCGCAUGUUCAGAGAAUGAAGGUUGCGGAGAUGACGAUGCUUAGGUGGAUGUGCGGGUUCACCAGGUUAGAUAAGAUUAAGAAUGAAGGUAUUCGAGAGAAGGUGGGGGUGGCCCCGGUGGAUGAGAAGAUGCGAGAAGCGAGGCUUAGGUGGUUCGGGAAUGUGCGGAGGAGAAGUCCUGAUGCCCCGAUGAGGAGUAUAGAGCGGCUGGCGAUUGUCGGCGUUCGGCGAGGCAGAAGGAGGCCUAAGAAGUAUUGGGGAGAGGUGAUUAGGCAUGACAUGGCUAGAAUGCGGGUUUCCGAGGACAUGAGCCUUGAUAGGAAAGUCUGUAGGUCUAGUAUCAGGAUUGUAGGAUAGAGGCUCCUAAAGUUUUUCGUACUCCUCACCCGGGUUGGGUGAGGCUUGGCAGGGCUACCCAUUAAUGAUUUGUGUUUUGACUUGUGUCUCCCUUAUGGUAGUUAGUUAUGGUAGUUACUGUAUUAUAUUAUUGCAUGCUAUUUUAUUUAUGUUUCUUAAGUUUAGAUAAUUAUUUACGCUAUUUCUGCUGGAAUUACUAAUGCUCUUUUUUUUUUGUCUUUCCUUUCCUUCACUGAGCCGGGGGUCGAUUGGAAACAGCCUCUCUGCCCUUUCGGGUAGGGGUAAGGCUCGUCUACAUAUUACCCUCCCCAGACCCCACCUGGUGGGAGUAUACUGGGUAGUUGUUGUUGUUGNNNNNNNNNNNNNNNNNNNNNCACUUUGUGGGACUAUACUGGGUAGUUGUAGUUGUUGUUGUUGUUUAACAAAUAACCUGGGCCAGAGACAGUGGAGCCUUUUGAAUUGGGUCACAAAUGACCCAAAGAUCCCAAGUAAAUACUGAAUUGGACAAAUAACACAAACCAAGGACACAAACCAAACCCUAAAUUAUUAAUUGGACAAAGAAUAGGAGCCAUUCGAGCCACAAAUUUACCAAUUCUAAUUAAUCCUUAAUGAAAGUUAAACUAAGUUACUGACGGAUUAUUGAAAUUAACUAAAGAAACGAUAAUAAAGCUCCUAAACUAAUUAUGCAUGUGAAAGAUUCGAAAAACUGGGAUAGUAAGAAAGAUCAAAAAAGAAGAAGGAGGAGAAGAUGGCAAAGCGGCGGAUAGUAAAAAAAACAAAAGAGCAGAGAUAGAGAAAUACCUAACAAUUCAAAACAACCCUGCCUGACCUUGACACUUCUACUGAAUUGACUUCAAAAAGUGAAAUUUGACGGGUUAUGGGGUCAUUUGAAGGAAAUGGACUACGGAUUUGUAAAGAGGGAGGUGAAGGGGUCCUUUGGUGUGAUUUUGGUGUCGGUUGGAGGUGGCGCCGCCAGACACGGCGGAGGAGUCAGUGGCGGCGCAAGAUGGUAGUGCCAUGAGCAUAAGGGGAUGAAGGCGAAGAUUUGGUGCAAAAAUGGUGGUCAUUGGGUUAUCACUGCCGGAGGAGGCGAUUUCCGGCCGGCGAUUUAUAGUGGUGGACGGUGGGGACGGUCGCUAGGGUUACUGAUGUGAGAGAGGAAGGGUAGGGGGUUUUGAGAGGGGUAGGGUCUGUUUGGACAUAUAUAUACUUAAGACUCCUCAAUUCUCAGUCGUUAGAUCAUAGAUCCUCAAUGGCUGAGAUUAGGUCCUAUGAAACGACGUCGUUUCAUUUAUUAGAGGUUGCUAGACCGGGUUUAGGUGUGUUUGGGCGUCAAUUUGGACGGGUUUGAGGGUGUAUAAUUGGGUUGGCCUAAAUGAAAAUCAGAUCUUUCUCUAUUCUCUUUAAGUUGCUUUUUAAAAAAAAAAUUAUUUCCCAAAUUAAAAUAAAAACCUAAAUUAAUUCCUAAACUCAAUUAUCUUACUAAAUUAGCCUAAUUAUUAAUCACAAAAUUUAUAAAAAUUAAGUAAUUCUCAAAUUCAAAAUUUAAAAGAGAAGAAUGCCAAAUGAACACAUUUUUUCUUGAUUUAUAUUUUAAAAAAUCAGAUCUUUCUCUAUUCUCUUUAAGUUGCUUUUUAAAAAAAAAAUUAUUUCCCAAAUUAAAAUAAAAACCUAAAUUAAUUCCUAAACUCAAUUAUCUUACUAAAUUAGCCUAAUUAUUAAUCACAAAAUUUAUAAAAAGUAUGUAAUUGUUAAAUUCAAAAUUUAAAAUAGAAGAAUGCCAAAUGAACGCAUAUUUUUAUUUUUAUUUUAGUAAAGCUCCUAUUAACCAAAAAUAUGAAAAUGAAUCCUAAAUUACAUUAUGAAACCAAAUUAUCCCAUAUAAUUUAAAUAAAUAGCAAGAAAAAUCACCUAACAUCAAAGUUAAAAUUAAAGAUGCGAAUUAAACUAUUUUUUAAUUUAAUUUUUGUGAAAUGACUAAUUGCUAAUUAAUUCUUGAAAAAAGUCAAAUUAACUUCUAAAUGCAUGUGCAACUCAUUUUUUGUAUUUUUUACUAAUUAAGAUGCACAAACAAAAUGCAAACAAUUAAUAUAAGAUGCCAAAAAAAUUUGCAAAAUUGCAAACAAACAAAAGAAAUUUCUUGUUUUUGAAUUUAUGGGAGUAACUCAUAUAGGGAAAAAAUCGCAUGCUCACAACUACCGCUCGGAAAAUGUUCUUUGAUAGAGCGGUCAACACAAGAGGUGUGGGAAUUGGGGCAGUGUUGAUCUCACCCACUAGUCAGCAUUAUCUACCCACAACCCGGCUUUGAUUUUUCUACACAAAUAACACUGCCGAGUAUGUAGCCUGCAUUAUGGGUAUAAAAAUGGCAAUCCACCAGUACGUCGAAGUGUUGUUAAUCAAGGGAGACUCGGAUAUGAUCAUCCGGCAAGGUCAUGGAGAAUGGGAGACCCGAGAUGUCAAGCUUAUCUCCUAUAGGCAACAUGUGGAAGAUCUGGGCAGAGGAUUCAAGUCAAUAGAGUUCAAGUACAUCACUCGUUGUCACAAUGAACUAGCCAAUGCACUUGCUACUUUGGCCUCAAUGCUGCCUUACCCAGGCAAUGCUCAUAUAGAUUCCUUGAAAAUCUAAAUUCGAGAAAUGCACAGUUACUGUAAUACGGCUAAAGCAAAACCAAAUAGUCAGCGAUGGUAUUAUGACAUCAAAAGAUUUCUGAAAAUGAAAGAAUACCCCGAGCAAGCUAGUUGGGACCAAUAGAGAACCAUUAGACGACACACAAGUGGUUUUUUCUUGAGCGAUGAUGUCUUGUACAAAAGAACUCCGGACCUCAACCUGUUAAUAUGUGUUGACGUAGAGAAGGCUGGAAGAAUCAUGAAUGAAGUACACCCGGGAGUAUGCGGACCCCACAUGAACAUGUAUGUUUUAGAAAAGAAAAUCCUUUGAGCAGACUAUUACUGGAUAACCAUGGAACGAGACUGCUUCAGAUUUGUCCGGAAGUGUCAUCAGUACCAGGUGAACGGUGAUUUGAUUCAUGCACCUCCAACAGAACUGCAUCCCAUGUCAACAUCAUGGCUAUUUGUUUCUUGGGGCAUGGACAUCAUUGGGCCAAUCGAGCCGAAAGCCUAAAAUAGGGACAGAUUCAUACUGGCCGCCAUCGACUACUUCACGAAAGAGGUUAAAGCCAUCAAUCUCAAAUCUGUCACCAAGAAAGAUGUGGUAGAUUUCGUACACUCCAAUCAUAUCUAUCGUUUUGGUAUUCCUGCAAAUCAUCACAAAUAAUUCUGCAAACUUGAAUAGUUGUUUGAUGGAGGUGAUAUGUGAACAAUUCAAAAUAUCACAUCGAAACUCCACUCCUUAUCGGCUUAAAGCCAAUGGUGUUGUGUAAGCAGCAAACAAGAACAUCAAAAAGAUUCUGAGAAAAAUGAUCCAAUGUUCCAGGCAGUGGCAUGAAAAACUUCCUUUCACAUUAUUGGGAUAUUGCACUACGGUGCACAUAUCGAUUGGAGCAACCGUAUACCUCUUGGCCUGUGGAAUGGAAGCUGUAAUACCUGCAGAAGUUGAAAUCUCUUCUCUCCGGAUCAUUGUGGAAGCAAAAAUUGAAGACAGUGAGUGGGUCAAGACCCGUCUGGAACAGUUGACCCCGAAUGAUGAAAAGCGAAUGGUUGCGGUCUGCCACGAGCAGUUGUACCAACAAAGAAUAGCCCGUGCUUAGAACAAGAAGGUGAGGCCUAGGAAUUUCAAAGUGGGGCAACUCGUGCUAAGGCACGUUUUCCCCCAUCAUCAGGAGGCGAAAGGAAAAUUCGCUCCUAAUUGGAAAGGCCCAUAUAUCAUCAAAAAGAUAUUGUCAAGAGGGGCAUUAUACUUGGGAGAUGCCGAAGGAAAUACUGUGAAGGCAGAUGUAGUAAAAAGGUAUUAUGUUUAGGCUUUCUGCAGCAACAAAAUUAUUUGACUGAGAUGGAGAAGGCUUUCAUUCUCGCUAUCCAAAAACUAUCAACAUUUUGCAAACCUUUUGAGCUAGUUACUCUUCUUUGAUUACCCUCUUUGGAACCUGAAAGUAUUAUUAAAAAAAAAGAGCAUCAAGGAAAAAGAAAAGAAAAAAAAGAGAAAACAAAGAAAAAUAGAACAACAAAAGAAAAACAAAAACAAAACUUUCUUGAACUACGUUUGACUUGAUUUAGAAAGGAUACAUAGGAAGCCUCUCUCUGGGGUUCAGUCACCACAAAAUAAAAAUCCAACUUUUCCCAAUAAGUGAAACUGGGGCAGAUGUUAUAAUGGUUUGACGAUGAUCCCGCUCGAAAGGUUCCAAAGAUGUAAUUCGGACCAAUUCUUUUACCCAAACCUUGUUCAAUUCCCUCUAAUAUAUUGGCGAAAGGUUUUCAAAAUCAGAGAACACAAUUGUUUGGAUCCGAUACAAUCAAGAUGAGAAAAAUAAAAUAAGAGUCUUAUUGGUAAAAACCUAUAGUCACCCUCAGGCAACGGUAAGCAUAGAAAUUAAAAAUGAGAGAGCCUGGUUUGUGAAAACUCGUAAAGAGCACUAUAAGGCAACACUGAGAAGAGAAUGAAAGAGGUCGAUUGGCAAAAACCCAUAAAGGUCACCGCCGAUCGAAUAGAAAACACCCCUCACCACCAUCAAAGUCUUGGCAAGGUUUUUCGAUUUAAAUAAUGGGUGGCAAGGAUUUUAUGAUAAGCUAGGAUAGUUAUGCAGAUCGGGAAUCCAGUCUAAGAAGCAUGUCCUAUCUAUUGAAGUCUGCAUGCACCCCAGAUAAGUCCUUCAUUCCUCCUCGAAAUUGACACUUCUCUUUAAAUUCAUAUUCUUACCUCUUGUUUACUUUUUAUUGAAUCCCUUUUGGUCUAGCUCUGUUUUCAAAAUUAGUACAAAGAAAAGGUGGCAAGAUUGGUUUUACAGGGCCCUGCCUAACAAAAGAUAAAGAAAAGUACCCAGCCUCAGCGGGUGCAUCAAGUCGAUCCCGACUGGCCAUGAUGGCCAAUGCUCUGAAAUUAAACUUAUGAAAAAUGAAAAGCAUUCUGAAGUCAAAAGAGUUUAGAGGAAGAAUGAAGGGAGAAGUCCAAAGCCUCAAACGGGUGAGUCGUUAUGAGAAAUUUUGAAAAGUUGAGUUCCUCGGUUUUAGGAGAGAGAUCAAUCUUCAGAAAAACAAGCAAGCAGCAGAGGUUCUCACUACCAUUUCAAACUAAAAAGUUUUCUUUGUUUAAAAUUGAAACAGGUGCAGCCUAAAGCAACCGUACAAAAGAAGGUGCAACCAAAAGGAAAAGCUACGCAAAAGCUAGAACAGCUUCGCAGUAAUAAUCAACCCAAAAGGGAUGUUUUCCUCCAAAUUCUUUCCUGAAUUUUAGUGAAAUGAUAUUGAAAUGAAACAGGAAAAUGAAAUAGAAGAAAUAAAUAAACAAGAAAAUCCAAAAAAAAAAAUGAUAGUUUAGGAUCACCAAUAUCAAUUCUUACUUUUUUACCAACAUUUGGGCUCCAAUCCUUUAGUUGAGUUUUUUGAUACAUGGCCUCCAUUCCCUAGUCGUCUUUUUACCAACAGUAGGGCUUCAACCCUUGAUUUGAGUUUUUAGACAUAGACCUCCAUUCCCUAGUCACCUUUUACCACUAUUAGGGCUCCAAUCCCUGAGUUGAAUUUUUAGACAUAGGGCCUCCAUUCCUAGUCGCCUUUUCCAAACAUUAGGGCACCGAUCCCAGAGUUGAGAUUUAUAGACGUAUGGCCUCCAUUCCCAAGUCAUCUUUUCACCAAUAUUGGGGUUCCAAUCUCUGAGUUGAGUUUUUAUACAUAUGGACUCCAUUCCCUAGUUGCCUUUCACCAACAUUAGGGCUCCAAUUCUUGAGUUGAGUUUUAAGGCAUAGAGUUUCCAUUUGCUAGUCGCCUUUUUACCAACAUUAGGGCUCCAAUCCCUAAGUUGAGUUUUUAGACAUAGGGCCUCCAUUCCUUAGUGUCCUUUUUACCAAUAUUAAGGCUUCAAUCCCUGAGUUGAUUUUUUAGGCAUACGACAUCCAUUCCUUAGUCGCCUUUUACAAAUAUUAGGGCUCCAACCCCUGAGUACAAUUUUUAGACAUAGGGCAUCCAUUCCCUAGUCGCCUUUUUACAUAUAUUAAGACUCCAAUCCCUGAGUUGAGUUUUUAGACAUAGGGUCUCCAUUCUUUAGUCGCCUUUUACCAACAUUAGGGCUCCAAUCCCUGAGUUGAGUUUUUAGACAUACGGUCUCCGUUCGCUAGUCGCCUUUCUACCAACAUUUGGGAUGCAAUCCCUGAGUUGAGUUUUUAGAUAUAGGGCCUCCAUUCCCCAGUCGCCUUUUUACCAGCAUUAGGGCUCCAAUCCCUGAGUUGAGUUUUUAGACAUAGGGCCUCCAUUCCUUAGUCACAUUUUUACCAAUAUUCGGGCUCCAAUCCCGGAGUUGAGAUUUUCAGACAUAAGACCUCCAUUCUUUAGUCACCUUUUACCAACAUUAGGGCUCCAAUCCUUGAGUUGCAUUUUUAGACAUAGGGCUUCCAUUCCCUACUAGAUUUUUCACCAACAUUAUGGCUCCAAUCAAUGAGUUGAGUUUUAGACAUAAGGCUUCUAUUCCCUAAUCGCUUUUUUACGAACAUUAGUGCUUCAAUUCCUCUGUUGAAUUUUUAGACAUAGGGCCUCCAAUCCCUAGUUGCCUUUUUACGACAAUUAGGGAUUCAAUCCCUGAGUUGAGGUUUUAUCCAUAGGGUCUCUAUUUCAUUGUCACAUAUUUACAAACAUUGGGGCUCCAAUCCAUGAGUUCAGUUCUAGACAUAGGGCCUCCAUUUCCUAGUCUCCUUUAAUCAACAUUAGGCUUCAAUCCCUGAGUUGAGUGUUUAGACAUAGGGCCUCCAUUCCCCAGUCGCCUUCUUACAAAUAUUACGGCUCCAAUCCCUAUGUUGUGAUUAUAAACAUAGGGCCUUCAUUCUCUAGUCGCCUUUUUAACAGUAUUAGGGCUCCAGUUCCUGAGUUGAGUUUUAGACGUAGGGCAUCCAUUUCCUAGUAACCUUUUCUACCAAUAUUAGGGCUCCAAUCAUUGUGUUGAAUUUUUAGACAUAGGGCCUCCAUUCCCUAGUCGCCUUUUUACCAACAUUAGGGCUCCAAUCCUUGAGUUAAGUUUUAGAUGUAGGGCCUCCAUUCCCUAGUUGCCUUUUUUGCCAACAUUAGGGCUCUAAUUCAUGAGAUGAGUUUUUAGACAUAGGGUCUUCAUUCCCUAGUCACCUUUUUGCAAAUAUUAGGGCUCCAAUCCCUGAGUUGACAUUUUAGAUAUAGGGCUCCUUUCCCAACCUUCUCCCUUAAAGAUAGACACAAUUCUUGUUUACUUUUUGAAAAAAAGGUAAAAAAAGAGAAGAGAAAGAGAAAAGAAAAAAGAGAGAAAAAAAUAGUGUUCUUUCUAAGAGUAGGCGUGGAGAGCUUUUUGCGGGGAAACUUGCAAGUACAGUUUGGGGGGAGGCAGGCGUCGACCCUACCUUAUGAGUAUUCGGACUAUAACAGUUCAGAUAUGUUCAUACUUUUGUCAUAAACAACUCAUGAAAUUUUCCUAGUGAAAACUGGGGCAGAAAAAUCUCGUUCGUUUGUUUGUUUUGGCAUCUGAGCAGGUUUGACUUUGAGGCGCAUGAGCUGAGGUAACCAAUAGAAUGAGUCUUAGUAAAGAAUAAAGAAAAGAAGAAAAAGAACAAAAUAAGUGAAUUCAAAAUGCUGAAGCGGACGGAGAUGCGCACUGUUCAUGAUAUGAUUGAAGUCACAAGUUUUUCAUGUCCCGCCUUGAUCCAAUGCUGAAGAAAUAACAAGUACCUACAACUUGCGAGCAUCAAGAUUCAGAUCGGUGUCCACAACAAGAAUAAGCUAAGACUUAAAAUGAAGCUUCAAUAGAUUUAUAGAUAGGAAUCUUAUAACUCGUAGUUGAUAGGCCUAGCUAGCUUAGCUUUUGAUUUUCCUUUUGGCGUAAUAAGGAGGUGGGAAAGCAGUAUCAGCAACAACAAUAGUAAAAUCACAGCUUUCCGGUAGUCCCAGCUACCAAAACAUCCAGCAUUGAAAUGAUUCCUUUAUAGUUAAGGAUAUGUAGCCAACCUUUGAAGCAAGGUUCAGUCAGACUCUUUUCAAAAUGCUUCUCAAUGGAGUGUCAAACGAGCAAAAUCUCUCAUAAUUGCUCAUUUAUCUUUGCCCGAAAACCCUUUGUCUCUGAGCAAAAAAGUGUAGCUGUGAGAAUGUGAGUUUUGCCUCACAUGAACUGCUCCUACAAAUUUUCCAAAAUUAGAAUUUUUCAUUUAAUUAUUUGGUAUUUAGGAAUUAUUGCAUAAUUUUCUUGUUUGUUUGCACUUUUGUGUGCUUAUUUAUUUUUAUUUAAUUCAUAAAAAAUACAAAAAUGUUGCAUUUGCAUUUAAGGAUUUAAUUCUACAUUUUUGGAUUAACUGAAAAAUUAGUUGUUUUAUAAAAAUGGAAAAAAUUACAAAAUAGCUUAUUUUGCACUUUUUAAUUUUAAUUUUGAAUUUUGGUAUUUUUCCUUUAAUUUGGGUUUUAACGAUUUGUAGUAACUGUUAUUUAGAGUUAGUUAAUUUAACUUGAUAGGAUAUUUUUAUUAGGUAUUAAGUUAGGUUUAUUUUAGUUUUAGUUUAAAAGAAAUUAGAAAAAGAAAGAAAGAAGAAAUGAAAAGAAAAGAAUACAAAAGAGGGAAGCCUGAUUUGGCUAAGUUAUUUCAAUUUCCCCAAGCCCCAACCAUUUAUUCAAUCAGUAUCCGCUCAAAGUCAGGCCCAGUCUUGCCCCUAACCCGGUCCAGCGUUUCCUCGGCUCUAGCGACAUAGUUUCAAGAUCCUCUGAGAUCAAUUAAUCUUGGCCUUUGAUCUUCCAGUAUCCAACAAUGAAAAUUCCAUCUUUAAUUAAAAUUAAUAUGUCCAAACCUAGUUCAAGCGAACCCUUUCAUCUCCCUCUAUAAUCUCUUUGAGAGUCCAAGAACCCUAACAAGCCACAAUUAGAUUCCCUCCAUCAUCUCCGGUGGCAGCAACACCAUAUACCACUCUAAUCCCACCAAACUAACACUCCAAAACCCUCUCCAUCUCCCUUAACCAAAGAUCAACCCUUUACUGUCAAAUCAACAUUAAACUCUUCGAAUCUUGAAUCUGAGUUUGACCCUUAGAAAUUCGAAGGCAUUUUUUGUCAAGUCUGGUAACAUGCACGAUCAUGGAGC
This 24735-nucleotide long non-coding RNA is filed under the name Nicotiana benthamiana. The record is from RNAcentral. Lineage: Eukaryota; Viridiplantae; Streptophyta; Magnoliopsida; Solanales; Solanaceae.